RNAcentral lists this ribosomal RNA (280 nucleotides) under uncultured eukaryote. RNAcentral's name for it is "partial Bacterial small subunit ribosomal RNA". It matches the Rfam family "Bacterial small subunit ribosomal RNA", at positions 1131 to 1409 of the family's 1533-position model. The record is from RNAcentral.
ACAGGAACUUUAAAAAACUUGUUGGUGGAUAAGCCAAACGAAAGAAGGGAUCACGUCAAGUCCUUAUGAUCUUUAUAAACUGGGCUACAAACGUGCUACAGUGGAAAUUACAAAAAGUAGCGAUAGCCAAAAACUGGAGCAAAUCUUUAAAAAUUUCUAAUGUUCGAAUUGUGUUCUGAAACUCGAGCACAUGAAGUUGGAAUCACAAGUAAUCGUAGAUCAGCAUGCUAUGGUGAAUUUGUACCUUGAUCUUGUACACACCGCCCGUCACAUGUUGAAA